GGCGAAGUAGCUCAGCUGGUUAGAGCGUCGGAAUCAUAAUCCGUAGGUCGGGGGUUCAAGUCCCUCCUUCGCUA
RNAcentral lists this transfer RNA (74 nucleotides) under Calditrichota bacterium. RNAcentral's name for it is "Calditrichaeota bacterium (activated sludge metagenome) tRNA-Met". It matches the Rfam family "tRNA". From Rfam's summary of the family: Transfer RNA (tRNA) molecules are approximately 80 nucleotides in length. Their secondary structure includes four short double-helical elements and three loops (D, anti-codon, and T loops). Further hydrogen bonds mediate the characteristic L-shaped molecular structure. tRNAs have two regions of fundamental functional importance: the anti-codon, which is responsible for specific mRNA codon recognition, and the 3' end, to which the tRNAs corresponding amino acid is attached (by aminoacyl-tRNA synthetases). tRNAs cope with the degeneracy of the genetic code in two manners: having more than one tRNA (with a specific anti-codon) for a particular amino acid; and 'wobble' base-pairing, i.e. permitting non-standard base-pairing at the 3rd anti-codon position. Lineage: Bacteria; Pseudomonadati; Calditrichota. The record is from RNAcentral.